RNA transcript from Triticum aestivum (bread wheat), 3224 nucleotides. RefSeq lists it as uncharacterized. NCBI's taxonomy places the organism in Eukaryota, Viridiplantae, Streptophyta, Magnoliopsida, Poales, Poaceae. The record is from RefSeq and is a predicted model, not a curated record. The transcript has 10 exons.
UGAAAUUAUUACUAGUACCUGCAUGCUCUGUUGCUUCCACUAGUAGGAGUUGAGGCAUUUUACUGCGCACCCACCAUCCACCCGCCUGCUAGCACUAGCAGAGUCAGUACAAGAAUAGUAGGAGGAGUGAGAGUGACCGGUGGUGUCACGUCUGACGCGACGUUUUGACCUAUUGUCCCUUUUUUUAUUUCUUUCUUUUUUGUGUACGUAUAAAAACCAAGCAGGUAGUAACAUAUGUUUCCGUCACGUAGAUAAAAAAAACGAGUCGACAGGUGUCAACAUGCAGGUGGAUGGACCGGCUGCGACUAACCCUAAAUUUAACCGCGAGACUGACUCCUCCUCCUUUUCUUUGCUGAGAUGAGAUGAGAAAAAUAUCAGAUCUGGAGGCUCCUCUUCUCUCGUCCCCUACCCGUGGGUGAGAACCCUAACCAUCCACGCCGUCCGGCCGGCUGGCCGGCCGGAUCCUUGGUCAGCCGCCGGCACCGGCCGCCGUACGUCCUUGUCCCGCUCCCUUCCUCUGCUGUCAACGUACGCGCCGGCCCUUUCUUCCCCAAGAAAGCAUCCAUCAAUCCAUCUAUCCUCGCAACUUUGCCAUCUCUUUCUCCGGCCGGCCUCGCCUCGCCUCGCCUCGUUGAUUAUCAAACUUGUAUGUUAUGUUUGAAUCGAUCGUUUCAAGGCUCGCAGGAAAUCCAUCCUCUCAUCUCUGCCCCGCCAUGGAGGCGUUUGGCUGAUCUGCCGGACGCCAACAGCUGUUCAGAUCCGCUGGCCACCAACAGCCGGUAUUCUUGCCGGCCGGCCGGCGAGAGUCUCCUGUCCGGUGCACCGCCUCGAUCUAGCAGGCAGGCAUCUCUGCUGCACUAGGUUUAUGGAUCCGGUACCUGCCCUGCUCGAUCUCUUUCUUGCAUGUCAAGACUGUGGACGGACAAGACUGCCUGGCGAUGAAAGAAGGAUGAGACAUCACCUCGCUCGCGGUAGCACUACGCACAUCACAUGUGGUGGGGGUAAUAUCAUACUUCUACUAGUACAAUAUAUAUAAGCAGAGAUGAGGUGAAAGGGAGCAGAGCAGAGGUCUCUGCUCUGGAUCUACAUGCAUCUCCAAUUCUCCAUAGAUGCAUGCGUUUCAUAUGCCACUGCCGGGGAAGAUCCAAUGUGAGGACUGGACUCUGGAAUGACUAUCAAUCGGAGCAUGAGUUAUAUGCCUCAACCAGACACAUCCACCCAUGAUUAUAUUCAAUCCCUAGUAAUGAGAAACCAUCGACCCCUCGUAUAUAUGGAGUGGAACGGCCGGUGGAGAGUGGACUGUGACUCUCUGAGCACGAGUUAUAUACCGUGGCCUCCACCUGUCCCAAACGGUGCCUCUCAUGUUUGGAUGUUUGGAUUCAAGAUUGGUAAUGAUAAGAGACAUCCAUCCAUGAUUACAUUUCUAUCUGCACUUGCUUGCAACAAGGGCUUCAAUCCCUAUACAGGAGGGUUAAUCCAUCCUCUCAUCUCCUAUGGACCGUGAACUACACCCACAGAGGUGCAACAAUUAUCCCUAGCCUUACAUGUACGUGGUUGAUCCGUCAACUACACCCACAAAGUUGUUAUGUCACAAAUUCAUAUAUAAAGUUCUUGUAAUCAUUUAUAUUGGGCCAAGAUAAGGUGCAUCGAUCCCAUGUACAAAUGUGCCCUUUCUGCAACGCCGGCAGGGAUCCAAAUCGAGGAGUGCACUCUAAGCACGAGUUAUAUGUACCCCAGGACUCUACCUGCCCGAAACGUUGUCUCUCAUGUCUGGAUUCAAUCCAUCGUAUGAGACAACAAGUUGCGUGUAGAGACAUCUGUCAAUGGUGUUACGUUCUCAUCUAUAGCUGCUUGCAAUGAGGCCUUCAAUCAAUCCCUAGGAACUAAAAUAGAAAAAAGGAAUAUGCAUCUUGGAGCUUCAAUGGCUUCGUCAUUUUCUGCCGUACGCUACACCUAUGCCGCUUCCUCCACCAGGUUGUUUGCCUGUGGACCAUCUUCCUAGUGAUGGGUACUACAUAUUUUGGCUCUCGGCGGUGACGCAGAGAAGAGGGCUUUAGCAUGAUGGGAAUAUGCAUCUUGGAGCUUCAUUGGCUUCGUCAUUGUCUGUCGUACGCUACACCUAUGCCGCUUCCUCCACCAGGUUGUUUGCCUGUGGACCAUCUUCGUAGUGAUGGGUACUACAUAUUUUGGCUCUCGGCGAUGACGCAGAGAAGAGGGCUUUAGCAUGAUGGGUGAAAAAUACUCCCUUUGUCCCAUAAUAUAAGAAUAUUUUUGACACUACACUAGUGUCAAAAACGUUCUUAUAUUAUGGAAAGGAGGGAGUACUUUGAAAUACCCGCCAAGAAACCCACUGCAUGAUGGGGAAAUACAAGUGAAACUCCUUGGCCCAGUGGAGUGCAGCAGCCCAAAAAAGGCCCGGUUGAGUGCUGCAGCCCACAAAGGCCCAGCCGAGUCACCUGCCCUCCUCCUCGAGAGAACAACAGCAAAGCAAACCCUCCCCUCUCCUUCCCGUGCUCUCACUCCCCAGCCCCCAACCCUAGCCGCGCCCGCCGCCGCCGCCCCCGCCGCUCCCGUCAAUCCAAAACCCGGCCACGAAUCAUGGACCACCAGCAACUCCCUGCCCCCCUGCCGGCGCCGGCGGUGAGGGUGAUUGGCAUCGACGACUUCUUUAAGGCCUUCGACCUUGUGAAAAUCACUGGGCUCCCCAUCCCCGAUGACGCCCCUGAAGUGGAGGGGACAACAUGGGAUUUUACCAAAGCAGACUCCACGGGCAACGACCACUGGGACUGGAUCAAGCGGCAGUGUUACAAUAAGUCAAAUGAGCUCAGUAACAACAGAAGAGAUAUUCUACCACUGCUGAAGAACAAGAGAGCACACCGUAGGGAGAUUGCAAGGCUGGGGAGUCAACUUAAAGAUCUUGAGCAGGGGCUCAGAGCAAAAAUUCUUGAUUUUGAUCAAUUUGUUUUGGGUGGGUUUACUUUCCCAAGUCAUUUUGAUCAUUUCCCUGCCCUCAAGGAGAAGGGGAAGAAGAAAAAGUAAAUGACAGUGGCGCUGUUAGUGUUCGAAACAAACAUUACUGCCUUGUUGCAUUCGUGUGUUGGAUGAAACGUAGUGCCUAUGUGAUAUCAGUGGGAGUGGCAAUGCCAUGUAUCUACAUUAUUAUCAAGUACUACUGCUAUAUAUAUGCUGUACCAGACUUGUCUGCCAUAUUUGAUUGUCUCUGA